RNAcentral lists this long non-coding RNA (1140 nucleotides) under Homo sapiens (human). RNAcentral describes it as "non-protein coding lnc-MLLT6-3:1". Lineage: Eukaryota; Metazoa; Chordata; Mammalia; Primates; Hominidae. The record is from RNAcentral.
ACACUGCUGGUUAGGGGCAGGGCUGGGGCUAGAGUCCACGUAGCUCUGGAAAAAGUUUGGGCAGAUGCUAUCUCAUCCCAUGAACUUCUUCCCUUCCUACCCAUUCUGUCUCCCCAAAGGAGGUCCCUGAUGCCCUAACAUGGUCAGGGAACUACCUGGGCUCACUCACAGCUCUUACAGCAUUUGCUGGGACCUUGGCCAGGUGGAGUUACCAAAAUCCUGUAGACUGGAGGCAGGGGGAUCCAACUAUCACCAUAUUAGAGAUUGGCAAACUGAGGCAGCUAGCUAACCGCAGAGGGCAAGAUUUGAUAUUGAGUACUGUGUUCCUCCUGUAGAAAGACCUGAGAAGCCCAAACUCCCACAUAUGCAGAGUCACUAUUCACAAUAAUCAUGACUGCUGACUUCCUAAUGUCAGGGAAAUCCCCUCACUCCCACCAGUUCCUCCUGAAACAGAGCCUCCCUCCAUCUUGCACAGGGUGUCUGACUUAGGAAACAAACUGUACACCCACCCUCCUAAGCCACCCAGGCCUACUAGAUAGAUCACCUCCGAGUCAUACCCUUUAAUGGGGAAAUCACCCUUCUUUGUGCCAGGCACUUGACAUCGUCACUGCUCACAUCAGCCCUAAGGUUAGUACUACAGUCUGCGAUGGGGAAACGGAGGGUCCCAGAUAAGUCACUACUAAUCCAUGGUCAAAGCAAGAAAGUGGCAGGGCUGGGACUCGAACUUAGGUUUGCCUGACUCCAGCGGGUCCCCGCCCAGGCGGGAGGCCCUCCCAGCUGAAGCCUUUCGCUGACUAGAUUACCUGGGGGAAAAUGACUUAACCUCUUCGAACCCCCAGAAGGUCAGAAGCUUUGCUUUUGGGGGAGAAAAUGGUGUGCAAACGAGACGCGAAGGAAACGCAAACCCUCGGGCGUCGGCGCAGCCUCUUCCCCGAGCCUGGGUCUGUCUAAUGGCCCAGAGGGAGAGGUCGCACCCCCGACCCCUGGCACCUGCGAAACCAAGCGCCCGGUCGGCUGGCAGAAACGAAACCUCAACACCCUCCAGCCUCCCCCGCUUGGUUCCCGGAACCGGCGAGCCAGGCUUCGCGGAAACUUGCCCGGCGGCAGCCGCCUAGGGCCCCGGGAUCGCCCUGACCGCAG